RNAcentral lists this ribosomal RNA (776 nucleotides) under uncultured Neocallimastigales. Its description in RNAcentral is "partial large subunit ribosomal RNA". The stretch from base 5 to 695 matches the Rfam family "Eukaryotic large subunit ribosomal RNA", at positions 24 to 664 of the family's 3401-position model. Lineage: Eukaryota; Fungi; Neocallimastigomycota; Neocallimastigomycetes; Neocallimastigales. The record is from RNAcentral.
UAUCUCUGUAGAGUCUGCAUAUCAAUAAGCGGAGGAAAAGAAACUAACAAGGAUUCCCUUAGUAACGGCGAGUGAAGCGGGAAGAGCUCAAAUUUGAAAUCUUAAAGGUUUUCCCUUGACGAAUUGUAGUCUAAAGAAGUGUUUUCUGUUGAAGUUUCGGUAAAAGUUCUUUGGAAUAGGACAUCAUAGAGGGUGAGAAUCCCGUAUUUGACCGUUACUUUUCCAGCUGUGUGAUACACUUUCAAAGAGUCGGAUUGUUUGGGAAUGCAGUCCAAAAUGGGUGGUAAAUUUCAUCUAAAGCUAAAUAUUGGCGAGAGACCGAUAGCGAACAAGUACCGUGAGGGAAAGAUGAAAAGAACUUUGAAAAGAGAGUUAAACAGUAUGUGAAAUUGUCAAAAGGGAAGCGUUUGACACCAGUGUUGUUUUCUCGAAAAUCAAUUAAAAAUGGCCGGAUUUUGUGUUGUAUUGACUUUAUCAGCUUUCUGCACUUUUUUCUUAUCUUUUUUAAUGCACUUUUCGUUUAACAAGUCAACAUCAAUUUCUUUUGUUGUAAAAGAGUCAUUGGAAGGUGGCUUUUUCUUCGGAAAAAGUGUUUAUAGCCUUUGGCUUCUGCAAUCGGAGAGAUUGAGGUCUGCAGCGUAGAUCCUUCGGGGUUAGAUACAUUUGUGCUAAGCUAUAGUUCUUUAUAGACAACUUGUUGACUAUAAUCAAUCCUGUAACUUACUCGCUUAUGCUAUUUUACCUACGCUUAGGAUGUUGAACGCGCACAGAGUCUC